CUUGUCCUCGCCAAUCGUGUUUGCAAAACUGGAUGCGUAAAGCUUGUCUGUCACUGCUGACCCAGGAUUUGCCAAAACAAGCUUGUACAAAAGGAACAACUUACGGAGUUCAAGGUUAACAAAGGACAAAAGUAGAGAGUCUCACGUGACAUUUCAACUAUCAAAAACUGGAUUUUUGUGCGGUAGUCUCCUUUUUCUUGUUCUUCUUCGUCCAUCAACCAUCUUAAUGUCCUGCAAGAGAAUAAUUCUUAAGCAUCACGAAUAGUUCCCAUAAGAUAUUGGAUAGAAAUUGGGUAUUCUUCUUCUCAUGAGUAACAAUUGCUUGCAUUUUUACAUGCACAUCUAAAUUUAGUCUUGUGGUAAGUAUCAUAUAUAGUGUUACCUAACAUGUUUUGAAUCACACACCUGUCCUCCUUAGUACUUGGGCUUAAUUUAAGUUGUUUCCAAAAUAAUAAAUUAAAUCACUGUACAUACUGGAUUGGUUUCACUUAAACUCGAGUCUGGAUAUAUAGAACAAUUUCUCAUCUAUCUAUAAAUGUACAAAUGAAGGAGGAGGACGUCUUUACCUUUCUUUAACAUAAUUGGAGUUGGAAAAAUAUAUUGCAGAAUCGACUCUUACAAUCAGUACACCUGGAAUCUUACUAGCUUCUGGAUAUUGUUGAAUGUUUCUGUAGACAGUAGUCCUAGGAAUCUUCCCUAGAAUAGCAGUUCGGGGCCUUGUGACUUGUAAUAGGAUCUUUGCAAAGGAAAUAGAGACCUGCCAUAAAGUAUUAAUUAGCAAUUAAUAUACGAAAUGAACAAGACUAGCUUUGACAUUUAGAGCAUAAAUAACUAAGCAUUAAUUAUAGUAGUACUUACAGCAAUUAGAAGUCCUAUCUCAACCGAGACAAAAACAACCCCAAAGAAGGCACCCAUGCAAGCAACAAAAUCAAAUUUAUCUAUCUUCCAAAUCAAAAUUGCUGCCUCAUAGUCUACAAGGCUGAUGACAGCAGAAAUGAUGAUGGCAGAAAGAAUGGCAUUUGGGGUGUACUUGAAAAGAGGAGUGAUGAAUUCCAGGGUUAAUAACACAACCACUGACAUCACAAUAUUAGAGACUGCAGUUUGGCAGCCUGCCAUGUAAUUUACCGCGGACCGAGAGAAAGAACCUGAAGUUGAUAACAAGUUAGAUUCAUAAACCUAGCUUGUCUUUGAGCUUACCUGUUGCUACAUAACACGAAGUCAGGGAACCAACAACAUUCAUUGUUCCUAAUGCCACCAUUUCUUUGUUUCCAUCCAAUUGAUAGUCCUUCAUAGAUGCAAAUGUUCUUCCAAUUGCUGUGGCUUCCUGUGACAACAAAAAUAAAAUGAUUCAAUUAAACUAUAGGAAUAAAUGGCCAAUACUCAUCAAGAGAGGUAUUGGUGUCAAAGUUACUUACAGUCAAUGCUAUCAUGCCAGCCACGAUGCCAAUUUUAAAACCUUUUCCAAGGUAUUCUCCGGUAAAAUAAAUAUCUUUAACAGAUGAAGGAUUGAUGCCUUUUUCUAUUUUUCUUACCUUCACAUAUCAAUAGACAAAAAGUUUAGUAAUGCUGUAACUAAUAUUGUGUCACUCUUACCAUCACUAUUCCAUAAAAUACACUAAUGGUCUGCAAUGUUUACGAUGAAAAUGGAAGUCUAUUUUCUUA
This is a long non-coding RNA of Glycine soja, 1662 nucleotides long. RefSeq lists it as uncharacterized. The transcript has 3 exons. The record is from RefSeq and is a predicted model, not a curated record. Lineage: Eukaryota; Viridiplantae; Streptophyta; Magnoliopsida; Fabales; Fabaceae.